CGUCUCUGUCGCGCGCGUUCGUCAAUCAAAAUUCGAUUUUUAAUUCAAAAUUAAAAUAACUUAGGUUGUUGGUUAGCAUUUGUUUUUAUUGAAUUGUACGGGUUGUACAUUCACUAUGCCCAGAAGGAGGAGGUUGUUAACACCUAGGAAGAAAGUUAAUAAUGUAAAAGACGAGAAUGACAAAGAUGACAAUGAAGUGUCUACACCUCGCGGGCGACUUAAGGGUGCUCUAAAGGACGCACUCGACCCCGCCGAAGACUCGGAGACUUCUCUUGAACAAAAUUCGGUAAGAAGAAGCUACAAUAAUGAAAGAAGACAGUCUUCAGAAAACGAAGAAGAAGAAUAUUGGCGAACAAAGCCAUCUCCGGUGCGACAGCCCUAUGUACUCAAGCUGUUUGACCGAAGUGUAGACCUCUCACAGUUUGACGAAGAUUCUCCACUUUACCCCAUCUGCAGAGCUUGGAUAGCCAACCAGCCCAAGAUGAAUUACAAGAAGUUAGGUAUGGAUUCCAGUAAGAGGAAGUGCUGGGCACCUGAGACGACACAAGACAGUGUGGUGCUGCCCGGACCUGAAGGUCCGCCGGUCAGCAGGAUACCCGAACUGCUGCCUGAACAAGAGACUCGGGACAAGAACAAUAUUAAUCUCAAUUACCGUGAAGCACCACCACCAAGCAAGGAAUCCCUCCUGGCACAACACUGCGCGCGCUGGGCGGGCGUGCGGCGCGCCUGGCUGCAACAGGGAGCCGCCGUGGAGGCGCGCUACGAGGCCACGCAGCAGCUACUCAACAAGAUCAAUGUCAAGUGAGAAGACAUUUUGAUUAGAAGAAACAUUUGUCAAGCUCAAUAUAUAGAGCCGCGGUCUUAAUAUAACAUACCGGAAGUGUUAAGGCUAAUUCCGCGACGUGUUGCGGCGCCACAACACGUUCUCUGUGAUGCAAAUCUGGUAGCUCCGAACAUUCGCUUUUAGCAGCAUCCAGAUUUUAUAUACCAAUUUUUAAUAGACGUAAGUGUAAUGUUUUAUAAAAAUUGUUUUAAUUUAUUCAAUCAGAAUCAUUGUAGAGUAUUGUGAUUAUAUAGGAAACUAUUGUUUGAUUUGAUAGUGAUUUAUUUAAGAAUAAACUUU
Pectinophora gossypiella (pink bollworm) is the source of this 1123-nucleotide RNA transcript. It is a transcript of the gene named protein lin-37 homolog, with no coding region annotated. NCBI's taxonomy places the organism in Eukaryota, Metazoa, Arthropoda, Insecta, Lepidoptera, Gelechiidae. The transcript is spliced from 6 exons. The record is from RefSeq and is a predicted model, not a curated record.